GCUCCGUUGGUGAACCAGCGGAGGGAUCAUUAUCGAGUUUAUAACUCCCAAACCCUAUGUGAACUUACCACUUGUUGCUUCGGCGCGCGCUUCGGCGCCGCCGAGGACACUUAAACUCUUUGUUUUUAUAAGCAUUUCUGAGUGGCCGAAAGGCAAAAUACAAAUGAAUCAAAACUUUCAACGACGGAUCUCUUGGUUCUG
This 201-nucleotide unclassified non-coding RNA is filed under the name plant metagenome. RNAcentral's name for it is "partial contains small subunit ribosomal RNA, internal transcribed spacer 1, and 5.8S ribosomal RNA". The record is from RNAcentral.